GUUUGAUCCUGGCUCAGAGCGAACGCUGGCGGCGUGCUUAACACAUGCAAGUCGGGCGGGAAAGGGAGCUUCGGCUCCUGAGUAGAGCGGCGAACGGGUGCGUAAGACGCGGGUGACCUAUCCUGGAGGCGGGGAUAACCCUUCGAAAGAGGGGCUAAUACCGGAUGAGCCCACAGGCAGAGAUGCUAGGGGGCAAAGGGUGCAGCUUAGUAGGUGCAUGUCUUCUGGGAGGGGCCCACGGCCUAUCAGCUAGUUGGUACGGUAACGGCGUACCAAGGCGAAGACGGGUAGCUGGUCUGAGAGGAUGGCCAGCCACACGGGGACUGAGACACGGCCCCGACUCCUACGGGAGGCAGCAGUGGGGAAUAUUGGGCAAUGGGCGCAAGCCUGACCCAGCGACGCCGCGUGGGUGAUGAAGGCCUUCGGGUCGUAAAGCCCUGUCGGGUGGAAAGAAUGGCGGAGGGGCAAAUAGCCCUUUCACGUGACGGUACCACCGAAGGAAGCACCGGCCAAUUCCGUGCCAGCAGCCGCGGUAA
RNAcentral lists this ribosomal RNA (536 nucleotides) under uncultured delta proteobacterium. RNAcentral's name for it is "bacterial SSU rRNA". It matches the Rfam family "Bacterial small subunit ribosomal RNA", at positions 11 to 523 of the family's 1533-position model. The record is from RNAcentral. Lineage: Bacteria; Deltaproteobacteria.